RNAcentral lists this ribosomal RNA (742 nucleotides) under Actinomycetes bacterium. RNAcentral describes it as "bacterial SSU rRNA". It matches the Rfam family "Bacterial small subunit ribosomal RNA", at positions 134 to 888 of the family's 1533-position model. The record is from RNAcentral. Lineage: Bacteria; Bacillati; Actinomycetota; Actinomycetes.
UUCAUCGGAAUAACCAGUGGAAACGCUGGCUAAUGCCGAAUACGACCACCGAAGGCAUCUUCUGGUGGUGGAAAGCUCCGGCGGAAUGGGAUGGACUCGCGGCCUAUCAGCUUGUUGGUGAGGUAAUGGCUCACCAAGGCGACGACGGGUAGCCGGCCUGAGAGGGUGACCGGCCACACUGGGACUGAGACACGGCCCAGACUCCUACGGGAGGCAGCAGUGGGGAAUAUUGGACAAUGGGCGAAAGCCUGAUCCAGCAACGCCGCGUGAGGGAUGACGGCCUUCGGGUUGUAAACCUCUUUCAGCAGGGACGAAGCGAAAGUGACGGUACCUGCAGAAGAAGGACCGGCCAACUACGUGCCAGCAGCCGCGGUAAUACGUAGGGUCCGAGCGUUGUCCGGAAUUAUUGGGCGUAAAGGGCUCGUAGGCGGUUUGUCACGUCGGAAGUGAAAACUCAGGGCUCAACCCUGAGCGUGCUUACGAUACGGGCAAACUAGAGGUAUGCAGGGGAGAACGGAAUUCCUGGUGUAGCGGUGGAAUGCGCAGAUAUCAGGAGGAACACCGGUGGCGAAGGCGGUUCUCUGGGCAUUACCUGACGCUGAGGAGCGAAAGCAUGGGGAGCGAACAGGAUUAGAUACCCUGGUAGUCCAUGCCGUAAACGUUGGGCGCUAGGUGUGGGGACCUUCCACGGUCUCCGUGCCGCAGCUAACGCAUUAAGCGCCCCGCCUGGGGAGUACGGCCG